GAGGCCGAAAGGCGUAGUCGAUGGGAAACAGGUUAAUAUUCCUGUACUUGGUGUUACUGCGAAGGGGGGACGGAGAAGGCUAUGUUGGCCGGGCGACGGUUGUCCCGGUUUAAGCGUGUAGGCUGGUUUUCCAGGCAAAUCCGGAAAAUCAAGGCUGAGGCGUGAUGACGAGGCACUACGGUGCUGAAGCAACAAAUGCCCUGCUUCCAGGAAAAGCCUCUAAGCAUCAGGUAACAUCAAAUCGUACCCCAAACCGACACAGGUGGUCAGGUAGAGAAUACCAAGGCGCUUGAGAGAACUCGGGUGAAGGAACUAGGCAAAAUGGUGCCGUAACUUCGGGAGAAGGCACGCUGAUAUGUAGGUGAAGUCCCUCGCGGAUGGAGCUGAAAUCAGUCGAAGAUACCAGCUGGCUGCAACUGUUUAUUAAAAACACAGCACUGUGCAAACACGAAAGUGGACGUAUACGGUGUGACGCCUGCCCGGUGCCGGAAGGUUAAUUGAUGGGGUCAGCGCAAGCGAAGCUCUUGAUCGAAGCCCCGGUAAACGGCGGCCGUAACUAUAACGGUCCUAAGGUAGCGAAAUUCCUUGUCGGGUAAGUUCCGACCUGCACGAAUGGCGUAAUGAUGGCCAGGCUGUCUCCACCCGAGACUCAGUGAAAUUGAACUCGCUGUGAAGAUGCAGUGUACCCGCGGCAAGACGGAAAGACCCCGUGAACCUUUACUAUAGCUUGACACUGAACAUUGAGCCUUGAUGUGUAGGAUAGGUGGGAGGCUUUGAAGUGUGGACGCCAGUCUGCAUGGAGCCGACCUUGAAAUACCACCCUUUAAUGUUUGAUGUUCUAACGUGGACCCGUGAUCCGGGUUGCGGACAGUGUCUGGUGGGUAGUUUGACUGGGGCGGUCUCCUCCUAAAGAGUAACGGAGGAGCACGAAGGUUGGCUAAUCCUGGUCGGACAUCAGGAGGUUAGUGCAAUGGCAUAAGCCAGCUUGACUGCGAGCGUGACGGCGCGAGCAGGUGCGAAAGCAGGUCAUAGUGAUCCGGUGGUUCUGAAUGGAAGGGCCAUCGCUCAACGGAUAAAAGGUACUCCGGGGAUAACAGGCUGAUACCGCCCAAGAGUUCAUAUCGACGGCGGUGUUUGGCACCUCGAUGUCGGCUCAUCACAUCCUGGGGCUGAAGUAGGUCCCAAGGGUAUGGCUGUUCGCCAUUUAAAGUGGUACGCGAGCUGGGUUUAGAACGUCGUGAGACAGUUCGGUCCCUAUCUGCCGUGGGCGCUGGAGAACUGAGGGGGGCUGCUCCUAGUACGAGAGGACCGGAGUGGACGCAUCACUGGUGUUCGGGUUGUCAUGCCAAUGGCACUGCCCGGUAGCUAAAUGCGGAAGAGAUAAGUGCUGAAAGCAUCUAAGCACGAAACUUGCCCCGAGAUGAGUUCUCCCUGACCCUUUAAGGGUCCUGAAGGAACGUUGAAGACGACGACGUUGAUAGGCCGGGUGUGUAAGCGCAGCGAUGCGUUGAGCUAACCGGUACUAAUGAACCGUGAGGCUUAACCUUACAACGCCGAAGGUGUUU
Molecule: ribosomal RNA, 1565 nt
Filed under: Escherichia coli O157
Lineage: Bacteria; Pseudomonadati; Pseudomonadota; Gammaproteobacteria; Enterobacterales; Enterobacteriaceae
Description: partial 23S ribosomal RNA
Rfam family: Bacterial large subunit ribosomal RNA
Source: RNAcentral